AAAAGGGGUAUUGCCCUUAGUUACGGCGAGUGAAGCGGCAACAGCUCAAAUUUGAAAGCUAGCCUUCGGGUUCGCAUUGUAAUUUGUAGAGGAUGCUUUGGGUAAAACGCCAGUCUAAGUUCCUUGGAACAGGACGUCAUAGAGGGUGAGAAUCCCGUAUGUGACUGGAAAUGUUAACCUAUGUAAAGCUCCUUCGACGAGUCGAGUUGUUUGGGAAUGCAGCUCUAAAUGGGAGGUAAAUUUCUUCUAAAGCUAAAUAUUGGCGAGAGACCGAUAGCGCACAAGUAGAGUGAUCGAAAGAUGAAAAGCACUUUGGAAAGAGAGUUAAAAAGCACGUGAAAUUGUUGAAAGGGAAGCGCUUGCAAUCAGACUUGUUUAAACUGUUCGGCCGGUCUUCUGACCGGUUUACUCAGUUUGGACAGGCCAGCAUCAGUUUCGGCGGCCGGAUAAGGCUCUGGGAAUGUGGCCUCCACUUCGGUGGAGGUGUUAUAGCCCAGUGUGUAAUACGGCCAGCCGGGACUGAGGUCCGCGCUUCGGCUAGGAUGCUGGCGUAAUGGUUGUAAGCGACCCGUCUUGAACCCCGGACCAAAAAAAACCCCAACCCAAACAAAAAACCAAACCGUAUUCUGUUGUUGAUAGGAAAUUUUUUAUUUUUAUUUAU
RNAcentral lists this ribosomal RNA (661 nucleotides) under Aureobasidium pullulans. RNAcentral describes it as "eukaryotic LSU rRNA". The stretch from base 1 to 584 matches the Rfam family "Eukaryotic large subunit ribosomal RNA", at positions 67 to 664 of the family's 3401-position model. Lineage: Eukaryota; Fungi; Ascomycota; Dothideomycetes; Dothideales; Saccotheciaceae. The record is from RNAcentral.